This 388-nucleotide ribosomal RNA is filed under the name uncultured bacterium. RNAcentral's name for it is "bacterial SSU rRNA". It matches the Rfam family "Bacterial small subunit ribosomal RNA", at positions 29 to 417 of the family's 1533-position model. The record is from RNAcentral.
AUUGAACGCUGGCGGCAUGCCUUACACAUGCAAGUCGAACGGCAGCACGGGGGCAACCCUGGUGGCGAGUGGGCGAACGGGUGAGUAAUACAUCGGAACGUGCCCGGGUAGUGGGGGAUAGCUCGGCGAAAGCCGGAUUAAUACCGCAUACGACCUACGGGUGAAAGCGGGGGACCGCAAGGCCUCGCGCUAUUGGAGCGGCCGAUGUCAGAUUAGGUUGUUGGUGGGGUAAAGGCCCACCAAGCCGACGAUCUGUAGCUGGUCUGAGAGGACGACCAGCCACACUGGGACUGAGACACGGCCCAGACUCCUACGGGAGGCAGCAGUGGGGAAUUUGGACAAUGGGCGCAAGCCUGAUCCAGCCAUGCCGCGUGCGGGAAGAAGGCCU